CUAAUACAUGCAAGUCGAGCGAACGGACGAGAAGCUUGCUUCUCUGAGGUUAGCGGCGGACGGGUGAGUAACACGUGGAUAAACUACCUAUAAGACUGGGAUAACUUCGGGAAACCGGAGCUAAUACCGGAUAAUAUUUUGAACCGCAUGGUUCAAAAGAGAAAGACGGUAUUGCUGUAACUUAUAGAUGGAUCCGCGCUGCAUUAGCUAGUUGGUAAGGUAACGGCUUACCA
This 233-nucleotide ribosomal RNA is filed under the name Staphylococcus aureus. RNAcentral's name for it is "partial 16S ribosomal RNA". It matches the Rfam family "Bacterial small subunit ribosomal RNA", at positions 48 to 270 of the family's 1533-position model. Lineage: Bacteria; Bacillati; Bacillota; Bacilli; Caryophanales; Staphylococcaceae. The record is from RNAcentral.